UACGGAGGGGGCUAGCGUUGUUCGGAAUUAUUGGGCGUAAAGAGCGCGUAGGUGGCUUUGUAAGUUGGAAGUGAAAGCCCAGAGCUUAACUUUGGAAUUGCUUUCAAAACUACUAAGCUUGAGUAUGAUAGAGGGUGAUGGAAUUCCUAGUGUAGAGGUGAAAUUCUUAGAUAUUAGGAGGAACACCAAUGGCGAAAGCA
This 200-nucleotide ribosomal RNA is filed under the name uncultured bacterium. RNAcentral's name for it is "partial 16S ribosomal RNA". It matches the Rfam family "Bacterial small subunit ribosomal RNA", at positions 524 to 723 of the family's 1533-position model. The record is from RNAcentral.